Molecule: long non-coding RNA, 1366 nt
Organism: Salvia miltiorrhiza (redroot sage)
Lineage: Eukaryota; Viridiplantae; Streptophyta; Magnoliopsida; Lamiales; Lamiaceae
Exons: 6
Source: RefSeq, a predicted model, not a curated record
AAUUUUAACCCUAAACCCUAACACAUCUGAAACUCAACUCCUCCUUAUUCCUACCCGCGCCGCUCUUCUCACUCUCAGCCUCUCAUUCGUCCCUCCCUUCCGUCCAGCGCCGCGCCGUGCCGUCGUCCACCCGUCGUCGCCGUGUCGUCCGCCUGUCGCGGACUACCCAGGCUGGGCCGGGCGUCUCCCCUUCCGCGACGCGACAGCCCAGGCGACUACCCCCUUCUCGGUUCCAGUUUCUAGCGGCGAGAAGAAGGCCCCCUUCCGGCGGCAGCCCAGGCGACAGGCGUCGUCCUUGGAGGCGGAGGCGACUACCCCCUUCCGGCUUCCAGUUUCCAGCGGCGACUACCCCCUACCCGACUUCCCCUUCCGGCGCGGCUGCCGGCCUGUACCCUAGGUGUGGGGAGGAGUAAACAGAUCGAAAUUGGUGUUAAGCCGAAAGCUUUUCCUCAGAUUGAAAAAUUGAAUUAUUGAAUAGUUUUAUUUUUUACUUUUGUUUUUUCUGGAUUACUUCUGUGGAUUCUGAUGAAUUUUCGAACUUCAAUUCUGCUAAUUGACUUUGGACUCUUGCCACACUUAUCCUUGUAACUGCAGGCUUGAUCUAUAUUAACUGAUGAAACUAGAUGAAACUUGUGUGCAAUUUUCCCCAAUUAAGUGAAACGUUUUGCUUCUGCCUUGAAUCAGGUGCCUUCUCUCUUGAAGCCUGCAGUUACAUUUGCUUCUGAACAAAGGGAAACUAUUACAUUUGCUGAUGUUGCUGGUGUUGACGAGGCAAAAGAGGAGCUGGAAGAGAUUGUGUCGAUCGAAGAAGAAAGCGGCGACAAUGGAGAUGCGAAAUAAAAUAAGUGGAGACGAUGGAGAUGGUCUCCUAUACAUAUCAGAGAUUCGUCUUUAUAGUACCUCGACGAGAACAAGAAAUUGAUAUUGGCUAUUUUGGAUAAUCAAAAUCUAAGCAAACUCGCUGAAUGUGCCCAAUUCUUUGAAUUGAGAAAGUGAGUGAUUGGACCUGUGAAGCCAUGGCUCUGUCAUAUGGUGAACUUGAUCUAAACAAGGCGGCUGACACUUUGCAGGUGAUUAAACUUGAGCUAGAAGAAUUCUGCAUUUGACAUGAUUAUAAAUAUUGCUGUAUAUUUCUCAACCCCAACUGGACUCAGCUUCAGAAGGUAUUCUUCACUCUGCGGUCGCGAGCAGCUCAACAGUUAUAUAGUUGAAGGAUAAGAUACAAGAUUACAGAGUUUAUAGAGAGGUGCUGGUUUUAGAAGGCAACGGAAGCCCUAGUUUUUUUUUUUUUUUUUUUUGAGUUGGGCUCAAAACAUUAUGUAUGAAUGUUUUGUGAUAUAUACAAUAUAUGUUAUUGAUGGUUUUA